RNAcentral lists this ribosomal RNA (293 nucleotides) under uncultured Klebsiella sp. RNAcentral describes it as "partial 16S ribosomal RNA". It matches the Rfam family "Bacterial small subunit ribosomal RNA", at positions 776 to 1068 of the family's 1533-position model. The record is from RNAcentral. Lineage: Bacteria; Pseudomonadati; Pseudomonadota; Gammaproteobacteria; Enterobacterales; Enterobacteriaceae.
UAUUAGAAACCCUGGUAGUCCACGCUGUAAACGAUGUCGACUUGGAGGUUGUUCCCUUGAGGAGUGGCUUCCGGAGCUAACGCGUUAAGUCGACCGCCUGGGGAGUACGGCCGCAAGGUUAAAACUCAAAUGAAUUGACGGGGGCCCGCACAAGCGGUGGAGCAUGUGGUUUAAUUCGAUGCAACGCGAAGAACCUUACCUACUCUUGACAUCCACGGAACUUAGCAGAGAUGCUUUGGUGCCUUCGGGAACCGUGAGACAGGUGCUGCAUGGCUGUCGUCAGCUCGUGUCGA